UGGUCUGCAACUCGACCACACGAAGCUGGAAUCGCUAGUAAUCGCGAAUCAGCAUGUCGCGGUGAAUACGUUCCCGGGUCUUGUACACACCGCCCGUCACACCAUGGGAGUCAGCAACGCCCGAAGUCAGUGACCUAACCGAGAGGAAGGAGCUGCCGAAGGCGGGGCAGGUAACUGGGGUGAAGUCGUAACAAGGUAAC
Molecule: ribosomal RNA, 200 nt
Filed under: uncultured bacterium
Lineage: Bacteria
Description: partial 16S ribosomal RNA
Rfam family: Bacterial small subunit ribosomal RNA
Source: RNAcentral